GCUGGGAGGUCUGAAGGGUUUGGUCACAGAGACCCCCUUGGGACUGUCAUCUGAUGUGCUGACGUUACCUCUGAGACCGUUUUCUCUUCCAGCUUGGAACUCCAGAACCCUAUCUUGUUGAGCCAGACAUGCUAGCCUGCUGCC
Non-coding RNA from Chelonoidis abingdonii (Abingdon island giant tortoise), 144 nucleotides. NCBI's taxonomy places the organism in Eukaryota, Metazoa, Chordata, Testudines, Testudinidae. The record is from RefSeq and is a predicted model, not a curated record.